GUAGCAAACACAACAGAGCCCUUCUCCACCAGCACAGCCACAGCAAGCCCACACUCUCCCUGACUUCAAAAUGGUUUUGCAUCAGGACCAUGUGGUGGUUUAAACUUAAUUCGAUGGACUGGUUGCUAAACAAAUUAAAAAGUUGGUACCGCCUCUGCAAUUCACAUAUUUGAAGGAAGACCAAGCACAGGAAGUUCCUUUUGUUCCUGUUUCCCCGCCGGGAUGGCGAAGCGGGGGGCCCAAGCCCCGCGGUGCAGCAGCGCAGGGCCGAGCCGCGGGGGAAAGCCGCGCCGGCUCCGCAAGCAGCCAUGACCAGCCUUAAACAGCAGCGCAGCCGGAACCGCGCAGCGCGGCUCCUGGGGCCGCUGGGCCCCUUCCACGCAGCCAGCGCGGCUCGUGUCGAACCGAGCAAAAACAUGCAGCCUACAACAGCGAGUUUUCCCCAGAGCAGAGCCUGGACAAGAGACAAGAUCAACUUCUUAGCCGCAACUUAACAGGCACCAGCUUUCUUCCAGCUCAGAGAGAAAGGAAAAGCGAGAUCAUGUGAGAUGAAGCCAACAUGGCGGCGCCAAGCAGAUUCCAGGCAGACUGUUGUUUGUGAAAGUUUGAACCGCCCUAGAGAAAUUCGCAGAGAGCUGUCUCCCGUGGGAAGGAACGCACAGCACAGCAGAAGAAACUCUUUGCCUUAAACACAGGGAAAGACUCUUAAGAAAUGAAACUGUCAAACUCCCAUGUUUGUUUCCCUUGUGCAGGUUGGUGGAAAGAGGGAGGUACUAGAAGGGAAAGGUAUUCUGGGAGUUUGCUUUAAUUUCAUAUUUUUUUUUUUUUUACUUUUAAUUCUGUUAGUAAUGAAUUUUCUUAUAGUACAACUCUUUAAGUGUGGAACUGUUUUGCCUUGAAGUUUUUCCGUUUUCCUCAAUAGUCCUCAUUUCACCUUGUUUUGUAUGUGGUGCUUGGCACCUAACCAACGUCAAACCAUGACACUGUGCUAUGCUUUGGGACAUCAAAUUUUGUUUUACACAUCUUCAGAAAGCUCCUGUCUAAUUCGAGCCAUUUGAUACCAUCAGAACUUGGCCCUUCUUUUAUGACAAACCAAUCACAAAAAGAGUUUUCACGUCUCAAUUGUAAAGCAGUCUGCAGGAAAUUAGCUGUAAAAGAGACAGGAGGCUUUUGUGGCACAGCUGAAAGCUUAUGAAAAACAAAUUACAGAAGAAACAUUUUUAAUAGACAUGCUUAAUGUUUUUAUUGGUGAGAAUGCUGAAGUGGCUGCCAAUUCAACUUUGCAUCCAAACUGUCAAACAUAAUUGCUUGUAUAUGUGACAUAAUAAAAAUCUCCAUUGUAAAAGCCUUAAGAACGCUAAGUAAUGUAACACUGGCUUUUACAGCAUUAAAAAGGAAUAAUAGA
This is a long non-coding RNA of Corvus hawaiiensis (hawaiian crow), 1405 nucleotides long. RefSeq lists it as uncharacterized. The record is from RefSeq and is a predicted model, not a curated record. NCBI's taxonomy places the organism in Eukaryota, Metazoa, Chordata, Aves, Passeriformes, Corvidae. The transcript has 2 exons.